RNAcentral lists this ribosomal RNA (229 nucleotides) under uncultured bacterium. Its description in RNAcentral is "partial 16S ribosomal RNA". It matches the Rfam family "Bacterial small subunit ribosomal RNA", at positions 568 to 796 of the family's 1533-position model. The record is from RNAcentral.
UCCGUAGGCGGGUAAUUAAGUCAGAGGUGAAAUCACACAGCUUAACUGUGGAACUGCCUUAGAUACUGGUUAUCUUGAGUUUUAGUGAAGUAGAUAGAAUGUGUAGUGUAGCGGUGAAAUGCAUAGAUAUUACACAGAAUACCGAUUGCGAAGGCAGUCUACUAACUAACAACUGACGCUAAUGGACGAAAGCGUGGGGAGCGAACAGGAUUAGAUACCCUGGUAGUCC